CCCCUUCGGGGGUACUCGAGACGGCGAACGGGUGAGUAACACGUGAGCAACCUGCCCCUGACUCUGGGAUAAGCCCGGGAAACUGGGUCUAAUACCGGAUACGACCACUCCAGGCAUCUGGUGGUGGUGGAAAGUUUUUCGGUUGGGGAUGGGCUCGCGGCCUAUCAGCUUGUUGGUGGGGUGAUGGCCUACCAAGGCGACGACGGGUAACCGGCCUGAGAGGGCGACCGGUCACACUGGGACUGAGACACGGCCCAGACUCCUACGGGAGGCAGCAGUGGGGAAUAUUGCGCAAUGGGCGGAAGCCUGACGCAGCGACGCCGCGUGGGGGAUGACGGCCUUCGGGUUGUAAACCUCUUUCAGCAGGGACGAAGCUAACGUGACGGUACCUGCAGAAGAAGCGCCGGCUAACUACGUGCCAGCAGCCGCGGUAAUACGUAGGGCGCAAGCGUUGUCCGGAAUUAUUGGGCGUAAAGAGCUCGUAGGCGGUUUGUCGCGUCUGUCGUGAAAGCCCACGGCUUAACCGUGGGUCUGCGGUGGAUACGGGCAGACUAGAGGCAGGUAGGGGAGAAUGGAAUUCCCGGUGUAGCGGUGAAAUGCGCAGAUAUCGGGAGGAACACCGGUGGCGAAGGCGGUUCUCUGGGCCUGUACUGACGCUGAGGAGCGAAAGCGUGGGGAGCGAACAGGAUUAGAUACCCUGGUAGUCCACGCCGUAAACGUUGGGCGCUAGGUGU
RNAcentral lists this ribosomal RNA (734 nucleotides) under Actinomadura sp. GKU 870. RNAcentral describes it as "bacterial SSU rRNA". It matches the Rfam family "Bacterial small subunit ribosomal RNA", at positions 75 to 823 of the family's 1533-position model. Lineage: Bacteria; Bacillati; Actinomycetota; Actinomycetes; Streptosporangiales; Thermomonosporaceae. The record is from RNAcentral.